GCCGGGGUGGCGAAAUGGUAGACGCAAAGGACUUAAAAUCCUUCAGAUUUUUAUCUGUGCCGGUUCGAGUCCGGCUCCCGGCACCA
This 86-nucleotide transfer RNA is filed under the name Campylobacterota bacterium. RNAcentral's name for it is "Epsilonproteobacteria bacterium tRNA-Leu". It matches the Rfam family "tRNA". From Rfam's summary of the family: Transfer RNA (tRNA) molecules are approximately 80 nucleotides in length. The record is from RNAcentral. RNAcentral also lists the same sequence under 2 other names. Lineage: Bacteria; Pseudomonadati; Campylobacterota.